UUUAAACACUUGGAAGUAGAGGGCACAGACUGGGUUGAACCGUAGAUUUCCAUUUGUAUGCCCACUGGGAGUGGAAAGUCUGCCCUGUGCAAGUUUCUCAAGCUACUGGUUGAUAGCUCCUCCUUAACAGUUGCAGUUGCAGUUCAUUAAGUCGGAAUAACAGUCUGUUGCUUUGCAUCAGUUCUAAACAAGGCAAUGGUGCCAAGCAGUUCCAGAGAGGUAACGAAUUCUGACCCAUCCUGGUGCCUUGACGACCAGUCGUUCAAGAAGAUGGGAGCUCUGAUGGCUGAAAAUCACAGCAAACUGAUUGGCGUGUACGAUGAGUUAGCCACGUUCCUGUCACAGAUAAAUGUGUUUAGAUACAGAGGACUCUGUACGUUCCUGCAAUUGUAUGGUGGUAGUUCAUGGACUCUGCAGAACAGUAUGCAGUUCGUGUGAGUCUGGACCAGAAGGAUCCACCCCUGUGAGCGGCCGAGGACUCCAGGACGUGAGA
Molecule: long non-coding RNA, 493 nt
Organism: Halichondria panicea
Lineage: Eukaryota; Metazoa; Porifera; Demospongiae; Suberitida; Halichondriidae
Exons: 2
Source: RefSeq, a predicted model, not a curated record